RNAcentral lists this ribosomal RNA (394 nucleotides) under uncultured bacterium. Its description in RNAcentral is "bacterial SSU rRNA". It matches the Rfam family "Bacterial small subunit ribosomal RNA", at positions 775 to 1169 of the family's 1533-position model. The record is from RNAcentral.
GGAUUAGAAACCCUGGUAGUCCUGGCAGUAAACGGUGUGCGCUUGGUGUGAGGGGAUUCGACCCCCCUUGUGCCGGAGCUAACGCGUUAAGCGCACCGCCCGGGAAGUACGGCCGCAAGGCUAAAACUCAAAGAAAUUGACGGGGACCCGCACAAGCGGUGGAGUAUGUGGCUUAAUUCGAUGCAACGCGAAGAACCUUACCAAGGCUUGACAUGCAUCUCUAAGCGCGUGAAAGCGCGUGACUCUUCGGAGGAUUUGCACAGGUGCUGCAUGGCCGUCGUCAGCUCGUGUCGUGAGAUGUUGGGUUAAGUCCCGCAACGAGCGCAACCCCUGUGAUUAGUUGCCAGCGGUUCGGCCGGGGACUCUAGUCAGACUGCCCAGAUCAACUGGGAGG